UUCCCAGCCGGCACAUGACCGACCUUCAACGUUGAAAUAUGGUUGAAAUAAGGUCAGUUGUGGUUUCAACGUUGAAACAACGUUGAUUCAACGUUUAAAGCUGAAUGGUUGAAAAACAUCCAGCACAUGACCAACUUUCAAUGUUGAAAUAUGGUUGAAAUAAGGUCAGUUGUGGUUUCAACGUUGAAACAACGUUGAUUCAACGUUUAAAGAUGAACUGUUGAAAAACUUCCAGCACAUGACCAACUUUCAACAUUGAAAUAUGGCUGAAAUAAGGUCAGUUGUUUUAAUGAAACAACUUUAAAAAUGUUUAAUGCUAAAUGGUAGAAAAAGGUUAACAAGCUUUUAAAUUAUUUAUAUUAAAUUAUUUAAAUUAAUUAUUUUAAUAGCAUUUUAAAAUAUUUUAGUCAUGAUACCUAUUCUAAAAUCUAAAGGUAUAUGUUAAAUAUUAUUAUCAUUAACAACAAUAAAACUAUAUACAUUUCGCUGCUUUAUCACACUGAAACAACUCCCAUUGGUAGUUUUAUUUUAUUACUUCUAUCAUGAUUGGUUAAUCUGGCUGUCAUUCAGGAAACUGGACAAUGAAUCGGUUCGCGCCUUUCUACAUUUAAAAAUAUGACCGUUAUUGUCGUCUUUCUGUGAGUGAGGCGGCUAACUGUGAGCUGCUGCUCGUUAUAACUGACUGCUCUAUCGGUCCCGAAUUAUUUCAUAUUUGCCUGUACAUUUUUUAUUUAUUUUGAGCGAAUUUGAGUCGUGACAUGUCAAUGGAGAACAAAAACUGUGAACACAAGAAGGGUCAGGUGUUCUGCGAGGUCCUGAAAACAUCCUGUCAAAAUGAGAGUCAUCGAGGAUCCAGCUUGUUCUUGAAACAUUGAAGUUUGCACUCUGCAAGUGAACGACGCCUUGUGGUGCCAUCCCAAGGAGGUUCAAAAUCACUCUCACGGACCUUUUCCUGGACUGUGUCCAGCUUGUGGAAUCACCUCCCAAUCUCAAUCCGAACUGCUGAGUCUUUACUCAUUUUCAAGAAACAUUUUAAGACUCAUCUUUUUCACCGGAACUUAACCAACUAAUGCUAGCACUUUUCCUUCUUUUCUUGUCUUUCAUAAAAAAAAAAAAAAAAAAAAAAAAAACCUGGCUAUGCGUUCUGUACUAGACUAACUGAGACUUGUCAUGGCACUUGUAUACUGUUGUUGUUCGCUUGUACACCUGACUGCUUCUGUUCUUCUCAUUCGUAAGUCGCUUUGGAUAAAUUAGUCUGUUAAAUGAUUAAAUGUAAAUGUUUAU
Molecule: long non-coding RNA, 1284 nt
Organism: Carassius gibelio (silver crucian carp)
Lineage: Eukaryota; Metazoa; Chordata; Actinopteri; Cypriniformes; Cyprinidae
Exons: 3
Source: RefSeq, a predicted model, not a curated record